Molecule: ribosomal RNA, 1246 nt
Filed under: biogas fermenter metagenome
Description: bacterial LSU rRNA
Rfam family: Bacterial large subunit ribosomal RNA
Source: RNAcentral
AAGUGGUUGUGCGCCGAAGAUGUAACGGGGCUAAAGUCCGCCACCGAAGCUUCGGGUGUGCUGGUUAUCUCUGCUUUUUCUCUGCGUUGAGUGAACGAAGGCGAGGUACAUCUUGUCAAAACGGACAAUUGAAAUUUGAAUUGGUACGUUUUGACCAGAUGCCUUCAGCUAAAGUUCGCCGAAGUAGGGAGGCAGCAGAGAUGACCAGCGCACGGUAGAGGAGCGUUCCAACGGCGCAGAAGGUAGACUGUGAAGACUAUUGGAGCUGUUGGAAGUGAGAAUGCCGGUAUGAGUAGCGAAAAGGAGGGUGAGAAUCCCUCCCGCCGAAAGCCUAAGGAUUCCUGAGGAAGGUUCGUCCGCUCAGGGUAAGUCGGGACCUAAGGCGAGGCCGAAAGGCGUAGUCGAUGGACAACAGGUUGAAAUUCCUGUACCACCAAGCAUCGUUUGAGUGAAGUGGUGACACAGAAGGGUAGGUCAUCACCCGGAUGGAAGAGGGUGUCCAAGCGCGUAGGGAGCAAGGUAGGCAAAUCCGCCUUGCGUAAUCCUGAGGCGUGAUGGGGAGGCGAAAUUAGUAGCCGAACUGAUUGAACCCAAGCUGUCAAGAAAAGCCGCUAGCGAGAUGUGAGGUGCCCGUACCGCAAACCGACACAGGUAGGCGAGGAGAGAAUCCUAAGGCGCGCGAGAGAACCCCUGUUAAGGAACUCGGCAAAAUGACUCCGUAACUUCGGGAGAAGGAGUGCCUAAGUAGUGUGAAGUUGAACAGAUGGAGCACGAACAGGCCGCAGAGAAAUGGCCCAAGCGACUGUUUAUCAAAAACACAGGUCUCUGCUAAGUGGAAACACGAAGUAUAGGGGCUGACGCCUGCCCAAUGCCGGAAGGUUAAGGGGAGAGGUUAGCGCAAGCGAAGCUUCGAACCGAAGCCCCGGUCAAUGGCGGCCGUAACUAUAACGGUCCUAAGGUAGCGAAAUUCCUUGUCGGGUAAGUUCCGACCUGCACGAAAGGCGCAACGACUUGGGCGCUGUCUCGACGGGGGGCUCGGCGAAAUUGUAGUACCUGUGAAGAUGCAGGUUACCCGCGACAAGACGGAAAGACCCCAUGGAGCUUUACUGUAGCUUGGUAUUGAAUUUUGGUAUGGAAUGUAUAGGAUAGGUGGGAGACUGAGAAGCCGGGACGCUAGUUUCGGUGGAGUCGACGGUGGAAUACCACUCUUUUCAUACUAGGGUUCUAACUGGAGGCCAUGAAGCUG